AGGGUAUGGGUCUGCUUGGUGUGGACACCUGACUGUCACUCAGGAAAAACAGGUCGGUUCGAAUCCGAUAUACCCUG
Molecule: transfer RNA, 77 nt
Filed under: bacterium
Lineage: Bacteria
Description: tRNA-Asp
Rfam family: tRNA
About the family: Transfer RNA (tRNA) molecules are approximately 80 nucleotides in length. Their secondary structure includes four short double-helical elements and three loops (D, anti-codon, and T loops).
Source: RNAcentral